AUGGAAGUUCUCAUUUGGGAUUUCAGUGUUUCUAAGUAAACUUCUCCUUCUUUGUCACAGUAUAUGUUCUGUUUAUUUAAACAGGGGCCUCAAAUCUGACCCUAUCGGAAACUCAAAAUGGAGAUGUAUCUGAAGAAACAAUGGGAAGUAGAAAGGUUAAAAAAUCAAAACAAAAGCCCAUGAAUGUGGGCUUAUCAGAAACUCAAAAUGGAGGCAUGUCUCAAGAAGCAGUGGGAAAUAUAAAAGUUACAAAGUCUCCCCAGAAAUCCACUGUAUUAACCAAUGGAGAAGCAGCAAUGCAGUCUUCCAAUUCAGAAUCAAAAAAGAAAAAGAAGAAAAAGAGAAAAAUGGUGA
This 354-nucleotide long non-coding RNA is filed under the name Homo sapiens (human). RNAcentral's name for it is "long non-coding RNA NONHSAT182486". The record is from RNAcentral. Lineage: Eukaryota; Metazoa; Chordata; Mammalia; Primates; Hominidae.